CCUACGGGCGGCUGCAGUGGGGGAUAUUGCACAAUGGGGGGAACCCUGAUGCAGCGACGCCGCGUGGGUGAAGAAGCGCCUCGGCGCGUAAAGCCCUGUCAGCAGGGAAGAAAAUGACGGUACCUGAAGAAGAAGCCCCGGCUAACUACGUGCCAGCAGCCGCGGUAAUACGUAGGGGGCAAGCGUUAUCCGGAUUUACUGGGUGUAAGGGGGGCGCAGACGGGUAUGCAAGCAAGGAGUGAAAGCCCGGGGCCCAACCCCGGGAUUGCACUUGGAACUGCGUGGCUGGAGUGCAGGAGGGGCAGGCGGAAUUCCUGGUGUAGCGGUGAAAUGCGUAGAUAUCAGGAGGAACACCGGUGGCGAAGGCGGCCUGCUGGACUGCAACUGACGUUGAGGCCCGAAAGCGUGGGGAGCAAACAGGAUUAGAUACCCCAGUAGUC
RNAcentral lists this ribosomal RNA (440 nucleotides) under uncultured bacterium. RNAcentral describes it as "partial 16S ribosomal RNA". It matches the Rfam family "Bacterial small subunit ribosomal RNA", at positions 338 to 795 of the family's 1533-position model. The record is from RNAcentral.